Molecule: ribosomal RNA, 237 nt
Filed under: Vibrio parahaemolyticus
Lineage: Bacteria; Pseudomonadati; Pseudomonadota; Gammaproteobacteria; Vibrionales; Vibrionaceae
Description: partial 23S ribosomal RNA
Rfam family: Bacterial large subunit ribosomal RNA
Source: RNAcentral
AAGAUGCAGUGUACCCGCGGCUAGACGGAAAGACCCCGUGAACCUUUACUACAGCUUGGCACUGAACAUUGACCCUACAUGUGUAGGAUAGGUGGGAGGCUUUGAAGCACGUACGCCAGUAUGUGUGGAGCCGUCCUUGAAAUACCACCCUUGUAGUGUUGAUGUUCUAACGUUGACCCCUUAUCGGGGUUACGGACAGUGCCUGGUGGGUAGUUUGACUGGGGCGGUCUCCUCCCA